UACGUAGGGUGCAAGCGUUGUCCGGAAUUAUUGGGCGUAAAGAGCUCGUAGGCGGUCUGUCGCGUCGGCUGUGAAAACCCGGGGCUCAACCCCGGGCCUGCAGUCGAUACGGGCAGACUAGAGUGUGGUAGGGGAGACUGGAAUUCCUGGUGUAGCGGUGAAAUGCGCAGAUAUCAGGAGGAACACCGGUGGCGAAGGCGGGUCUCUGGGCCGAUACUGACGCUGAGGAGCGAAAGCGUGGGGAGCAAACAGG
This 253-nucleotide ribosomal RNA is filed under the name uncultured bacterium. RNAcentral describes it as "partial 16S ribosomal RNA". It matches the Rfam family "Bacterial small subunit ribosomal RNA", at positions 524 to 776 of the family's 1533-position model. The record is from RNAcentral.